UACGGAGGAUGCGAGCGUUAUCCGGAUUUACUGGGUGUAAAGGGUGCGCAGGCGGUUGCUUAGGUCUGAUGUGAAAGCCUUCGGCUUAACCGAAGAAGUGCAUCGGAAACCGGGCAACUUGAGUGCAGAAGAGGACAGUGGAACUCCAUGUGUAGCGGUGGAAUGCGUAGAUAUAUGGAAGAACACCAGUGGCGAAGGCGGCUGUCUGGUCUGCAACUGACGCUGAGGCUCGAAAGCAUGGGUAGCGAACAGG
This 253-nucleotide ribosomal RNA is filed under the name uncultured Lactobacillus sp. Its description in RNAcentral is "partial 16S ribosomal RNA". It matches the Rfam family "Bacterial small subunit ribosomal RNA", at positions 524 to 776 of the family's 1533-position model. Lineage: Bacteria; Bacillati; Bacillota; Bacilli; Lactobacillales; Lactobacillaceae. The record is from RNAcentral.